AACGAACGCUGGCGGCAUGCCUAACACAUGCAAGUCGAACGAGACCUUCGGGUCUAGUGGCGCACGGGUGCGUAACGCGUGGGAACCUGCCCUUAGGUUCGGAAUAACUCCCCGAAAGGGGUGCUAAUACCGGAUAAUGUCUUCGGACCAAAGAUUUAUCGCCUUUGGAUGGGCCCGCGUUGGAUUAGCUAGUUGGUAGGGUAAAAGCCUACCAAGGCGACGAUCCAUAGCUGGUCUGAGAGGAUGAUCAGCCACACUGGGACUGAGACACGGCCCAGACACGUGAGGGAGGAAGCAGGGGGGAAGAAUGGAGAAUGCGAGAAAGGCGGAGCGAGGAAUGCAGCGUGUGGGAAGAAGGUCUUAGGAUGGGAAAGCAAUAUAAGUUGGGAGGAAGGGCAGCACGUUAACACCCGGCUGUGUGGACGUGACCAAAAGAAUAAGAACGGGCAAAAUUAGGG
This 458-nucleotide ribosomal RNA is filed under the name uncultured bacterium. Its description in RNAcentral is "partial 16S ribosomal RNA". It matches the Rfam family "Bacterial small subunit ribosomal RNA", at positions 30 to 507 of the family's 1533-position model. The record is from RNAcentral.